AUACAAGCGUUGAUAAGGAUUAGUAGAUUUUCUUUUUAAAUUUAGAGAACAGUCGGUUGGUGCAAGACUUUUUAAAAAAAUUUCGAAUCCUACCUUUGAGCGUGUAUUAAUACUACAGGGUAAGACGCCUUAUAGUCUUUUAAAGAUAACUUAAAUAAUCAUAAGUUAUAAAUUAGAGUGGUACCACGGCUUUUCGUCUCUUUA
This 204-nucleotide non-coding RNA is filed under the name Tissierellia bacterium. RNAcentral's name for it is "T-box sequence". It matches the Rfam family "T-box leader". From Rfam's summary of the family: Uncharged tRNA acts as the effector for transcription antitermination of genes in the T-box leader family. Lineage: Bacteria; Bacillati; Bacillota; Tissierellia. The record is from RNAcentral.